Molecule: long non-coding RNA, 234 nt
Filed under: Trifolium pratense (red clover)
Lineage: Eukaryota; Viridiplantae; Streptophyta; Magnoliopsida; Fabales; Fabaceae
Description: long non-coding RNA (TPRA_LNC007294)
Source: RNAcentral
AAACUCUGAUUGUCAGACCUUAAAUCCAGCAAACUCUGGCUUGCCUCAACCAAGUAACAUUAUAUCCGAUGCUGAUGUAGAGUGCAGAAAUCAGAGUGCUAACAUGGCUUCCGAUCAGACAGUAAAGGAAUGGCAAAGCGUUUCGGUUUCUGUUCCUGUUAAGGCGACUAUCAAUGAUAUUAUUGUGUUAAGUGACAGUGAUGAAGAAGAUGUGAAUAUUGAAGUCACUUCAGC